GGGCCGUUUCGAGGACGCUAAUACCGCAUACGUCCUACGGGAGAAAGCAGGGGACCUUCGGGCCUUGCGCUAUCAGAUGAGCCUAGGUCGGAUUAGCUAGUUGGUGAGGUAAUGGCUCACCAAGGCGACGAUCCGUAACUGGUCUGAGAGGAUGAUCAGUCACACUGGAACUGAGACACGGUCCAGACUCCUACGGGAGGCAGCAGUGGGGAAUAUUGGACAAUGGGCGAAAGCCUGAUCCAGCCAUGCCGCGUGUGUGAAGAAGGUCUUCGGAUUGUAAAGCACUUUAAGUUGGGAGGAAGGGCAGUAAGUUAAUACCUUGCUGUUUUGACGUUACCGACAGAAUAAGCACCGGCUAACUCUGUGCCAGCAGCCGCGGUAAUACAGAGGGUGCAAGCGUUAAUCGGAAUUACUGGGCGUAAAGCGCGCGUAGGUGGUUCGUUAAGUUGGAUGUGAAAGCCCCGGGCUCAACCUGGGAACUGCAUCCAAAACUGGCGAGCUAGAGUACGGUAGAGGGUGGUGGAAUUUCCUGUGUAGCGGUGAAAUGCGUAGAUAUAGGAAGGACCACCAGUG
Molecule: ribosomal RNA, 573 nt
Filed under: Pseudomonas putida
Lineage: Bacteria; Pseudomonadati; Pseudomonadota; Gammaproteobacteria; Pseudomonadales; Pseudomonadaceae
Description: bacterial SSU rRNA
Rfam family: Bacterial small subunit ribosomal RNA
Source: RNAcentral